CCUAGAGAAGAAGAAGAAGAAGAAGAAGAAGAAGAGGAGGAGGAGGAGGAAAGAAGAGGGAAGUAGAAGUCAUCUUAGCUACGUUACCGCAAAGAAAAGGUUGUUUUUCUUCGCUUUUUUGCAAAGAGGUGGCAGCUUGCUUCUGGAAGUCGUGACAGCAUGGCGGCCGCUGCAGCGCAGUGGGAUGAGCACCAGGCGUAUGAGGAGCUGCUUUACUGGGACGCCCUGAUUCAAGAGGGACACCGCCUCCUCCCGCACGAUUUUGAUAGAUAUGAGGAUCUGCGCUACUGGUAUGACAGCCUGUGCUACGAGGAGGAGCUGAGACAAUACCACGAUUACGUCGCUGCUAUCGAGGAGAUUGAGCACCACCGGCACCAUGAGGACGCUCCGGCCCCACGGAUGCACUCAGGUCCAUAUGAUCGCCACGUGAUGGCCAAACACUCUGAAGUGUAUCCUUCACCAGAGGAGCUGGAGGCGGUGCAGACAAUCGUCUCUCGGGUGGAGUGCGCCCUCAAGAUUGUGUCUGACCAGAUGGAUACUCCGAAAGAUAACACAGGAAAUGCAGAGGCAGGGAGUUGUGAUUCACAAGAGCGUGUCCUGCGCGGUGUUAUGAGGGUCGGUCUGGUGGCCAAGGGACUCCUGCUGACCGGAGACAAGGACCUGGAGCUGGUGCUGCUUUGCUCCAGCAAGCCAACCAUCACUCUGCUUAGUCAAGUGGCGGAAAAAUUAACUGAACAGCUGGAGGCAAGUUCAGCAGGAAUAUAUACAGUGAGCCCGUGUCCAGGGGAUGCAGGCCUUGUUGUGACGAGCACCAAGGACUCGGUCCUGACUCUCACGAUCCACCUGACAUCACCUCUUCUCAGGACGAAUCAAGAAAGUGAAACUGCAGAAGAAAAAGAUGACGACGAUGAUGAUGAAGAUGAAGAAUUAGAAGAAGAAAAAGAAGUAGCAACGCGAACAGACAACGAUCCGCCGGACGUUCUGGACAGGCAGAAAUGCCUAACUGCCUUGGCGUCUCUCCGCCACGCCAAGUGGUUCCAGGCCAAAGUCAACAACCUGAGUUCUGCCGUCCUCGUGGUCCGGAUCAUGAGAGACUUAUGUAACCGUGUUCCUACCUGGACGCCACUCUCAGGAUGGCCUCUGGAACUGCUGGUGGAGAAAGCUAUUGGAACAUCUGAGAGAGCGAUGGGAGCAGGCGAGUCGUUGCGCCGCGUUUUGGAGUGCGUUGCAUCUGGAAUCCUCUUGGAAGAUGGCCCUGGAAUAAGAGAUCCAUGUGAGAAAGAAACGGUCGACGCCACUGCAUACCUGACACAUCAGCAGCGUGAAGACAUCACGCAGAGUGCCCAGUUUGCCUUGAGGCUGUGUGCAUUCGGACAAAUGCACAAAGUGUUGGGGAUGGACUUCAAACCUAUAAAGCCACGGAGAACGGGGGGAGCCGGCGGCAAAGACGGCACAGCCCAGAUACCUCCUGCUGGACACUCCAGCCUGCCAGCUAAGAGACCUUACACACAGGUGGAGAAAGAAGAGGGGGAGCCCCAACUCAACAGCAAACAGAGGAAGUUUCUCAAGUUCCAGAAGCGCUUUCAGAGGAAAUCAUUCACGGAUGAUUUUAGCAUGAAUGCCGUGAUGCGUCUGAACCAGUACAGACCUGGCCUGGAGUACCGACUCACAUCUCAGACCGGUCCAGUCCACGAGCCGGUCUUCACAAUGGCUGUGGACGUAAACGGGAAGACCUACGAGUCGACGGGGCCGUCCAAACGAGCUGCCAAGCUUAACGUAGCCACGAAGGCCCUGCAGGAUCUCGGUCUUCCGACAGGCGCAGAGCCUAAAGCAGAGACCAUUGGUGAGGUUGAAAGAACCCAGGAAGUAGUCAAAGCUGCUAGCACGGCCUCUAAUACAUCAGACGAAACCGGUCAGGGUCCUAUCUUGACCAAACAUGGCAAGAACCCUGUGAUGGAGCUGAAUGAGAAGCGCCGCAGCCUGAAGUACGAGCUGUCUGCAGAGACGGGGGGCUCCCACGAAAAGUGCUUUGUGAUGGAGGUGGCGGUUGAUGGGCAGAAGUUCAAAGGGAGAGGCUCUAACAAGAAGGAAGCGAAGGCCUACGCUGCCCUCGCCGCUCUGGAGAAGCUGUUCCCAGAUGAAAGUGGAGUGUCGAACACGGACAGAAAUGCUCCAAAGAAGAAGGUCACCUACACUGACAUGCACAUCCCAGGGUUCGGCACUAUCCGUGGCAUUCCUUCAGACUCCGGGUCUCGUGGCUGGGGUCCCAACAGAGGUCGAGCCAGGGGCCGAGGCAAACAUUUUUCUUCAGGACCCAGCUAUAACAAGACCAACUACAGUUAUGAGGGCGGCUCUGGCGCAGGCUAUCAUAAAAUGUAUGGUAAUAAUGCAGCCGGCACCACAGCCACGGGCCCUGGCCCCACUGCAUCAGGCGUCAACGUUGGCUACGGCACCUUUUACCCGGAGGGCAGCGCCACCUACGCCUCCCCACCCGUCUCCGGCUCCGACAUCAGCACCACACAGGGAGAAAGCUACCAGUCGAUGCCUCCUCCCGCCGACCAGGAGAGCCCCUACAGCUACGGCUAUGGAGACGAGAAGAAGAAGAUGCUGACCCAAGGUCAGACCGAGAGCCAGGGAGGAGACUACUCUAUGUACAGCACAGCUUACCCCAGCUCAGUGACGGGUGGCCAAGUGUAUAAUAAUUAUGGAUAAAAUGAUGAGGUGAUGACAUUUUGGACUGACAUGGAUGUAAACUGCAACUUGGCUGAUUGACGGAGGCGUACAACCGCAAGGCGACUAUGGAAACCAGUCGUCCUCGGAGAAUCAGCAGAGUUACAGCACGUAUCAGGGCUUCGGAGGACAAAACCAGGGCUCAUACUCCGGAUACAGCGACAUGAAUUACUAACCAUCAGUGUACAAACUUUCUCAUCUCACGUCAUGUUUUUUGUUGUGUUUUCACCUCACUAGUUAGUUCUGGGACUUCUGGCAAGUUUUAGGAGACAGAUGCAGGCUUCCCUUUUGAAUAAAGGGUCCCUCUGCAACAUCCCUCAUGUCCGUGUUGACAUGAAUGUAAAAAAACGUACCUGGUUAAUCAUUAUUUCUCUGUACGGUUAUUGUGUUCAACAUAGUGUCCUGGUUCUGUAUCAGUAUGUUAUGGUUUUCAUUUCUGCUUGUAGUUUUGAACUGAAGAUUUAUUUCUGUCAUCCUUCUUGUAAAAUAAAUGAGUCUUAUUUUGA
This is an RNA transcript of Cottoperca gobio, 3236 nucleotides long. It is a transcript of the gene named interleukin enhancer-binding factor 3-like, with no coding region annotated. The record is from RefSeq and is a predicted model, not a curated record. The transcript has 21 exons. Lineage: Eukaryota; Metazoa; Chordata; Actinopteri; Perciformes; Bovichtidae.